RNAcentral lists this ribosomal RNA (462 nucleotides) under uncultured bacterium. RNAcentral describes it as "partial 16S ribosomal RNA". It matches the Rfam family "Bacterial small subunit ribosomal RNA", at positions 28 to 507 of the family's 1533-position model. The record is from RNAcentral.
GACGAACGCUGGCGGCGUGCUUAACACAUGCAAGUCGAGCGGUAAGGCCUUUCGGGGUACACGAGCGGCGAACGGGUGGGUAACACGUGGGUGAUCUGCCCUUCACUUCGGGAUAAGCCUGGGACACUGGGUCUAAUACCUGAUAUGACCUCCUAUCUCUUGGUGGGUGGUGGAAAGGUUUAUCGGUGCAGGUUGUGCCCGCGGCCUAUUAGCUUGUGGGUGGGGUAAUGGCUUAUGAAGGCGACGGCGGGUAGCCGACAUGAGAGGGUGACCGGCCACACCGGGACUGAGACACGGCCCAGACGGCUACGGGAGGCAGCAGUGGGGAAUAGUGCGCAGUGGGCGAAAGCCUGAUGCAGCGGCGCCGCGUGAGUGAUGACGGCCUUCGGGUUGUAAACCUCUUUCGGCAGGGAUGAAGCGGAAGUGACGGUACCUGCAGAAGAAGCACCGGCUAACUACGUG